GACGAACGCUGGCGGCGUGCUUAACACAUGCAAGUCGAACGGAAAGGCCUCAGCUUGCUGGGGUACUCGAGUGGCGAACGGGUGAGUAACACGUGGGUGAUCUGCCUUGCACUCUGGGAUAAGCUUGGGAAACUGGGUCUAAUACCGGAUAUGCACUGCCUUUAGUGUGGUGGUUGGAAAGUUUUUUCGGUGCAAGAUGAGCUCGCGGCCUAUCAGCUUGUUGGUGGGGUAAUGGCCUACCAAGGCGUCGACGGGUAGCCGGCCUGAGAGGGUGUACGGCCACAUUGGGACUGAGAUACGGCCCAGACUCCUACGGGAGGCAGCAGUGGGGAAUAUUGCACAAUGGGCGGAAGCCUGAUGCAGCGACGCCGCGUGGGGGAUGACGGCCUUCGGGUUGUAAACUCCUUUCGACAGGGACGAAGCUUUUUGUGACGGUACCUGUAUAAGAAGCACCGGCUAACUACGUG
Molecule: ribosomal RNA, 467 nt
Filed under: uncultured bacterium
Lineage: Bacteria
Description: partial 16S ribosomal RNA
Rfam family: Bacterial small subunit ribosomal RNA
Source: RNAcentral